This 404-nucleotide ribosomal RNA is filed under the name uncultured bacterium. RNAcentral's name for it is "bacterial SSU rRNA". It matches the Rfam family "Bacterial small subunit ribosomal RNA", at positions 355 to 776 of the family's 1533-position model. The record is from RNAcentral.
UGGGGAAUAUUGGACAAUGGGCGCAAGCCUGAUCCAGCAAUGCCGCGUGUGUGAUGAAGGCCUUCGGGUUGUAAAGCACUUUCGCACGCGACGAUGAUGACGGUAGCGUGAGAAGAAGCCCCGGCUAACUUCGUGCCAGCAGCCGCGGUAAUACGAAGGCCACAAGCGUUAUCCGGAUUUAUUGGGCGUAAAGGGCGCGUAGGGGGUUUUGCAAGUCUAUGGUAAAAUUUCGAAGCUUAACUUCGAACCCGCCGAAGAAACUGCAAGACUAGAGAGUGUUAGAGGCAGAUAGAACGCACGGUGUAGGGGUGAAAUCCGUUGAUAUCGUGCGGAAUACCAAAGGCGAAGGCAUUCUGCUGGGACAUUUCUGACCCUGAGGCGCGAAAGCGUGGGGAGCAAAAAGG